UGAUGAUUGGGUGACACUACACAGAGAAGUAUUAGAGAAUGCCUGGAGAGUUGCAAACGGUAAUUUUGAGAGUAAGUGUCAUUUAGUAGGAAGCUUCUGUAUGAUAAGAAAGCGAGAGGAAAAGCAUUGGACGUUGGUCAACGUGUAUUAGUGCGAAACCUUCAUGGAAAGGGAAGGAAUAAAAUCCAGGACAACUGGUAUGAGGAUAUAUAUGUGGUAUCCCAUGUGUUGAAUGAGGAGGGAAGUGUGUAUAGGAUUGUUCCUGAGGAAGGAGAUGGGGCCUCAAAGGUAAUACACCGUAUGCAUUUGCGGGCAGCCCCAAGGGUAGCUGAUGGCUCAGAUGGGACAGACACCUAUGAUGGUGAUGAUGAGGACGAUGCGGGUUGCCCGGUGGGGGACCCACGUCCUGACAGUGGUGAAAGCUCUAGGCACGAGGUAGACACACAAGGUUCUAAUGAGGACCUGGACCCCGUAACAGAUAGUAGUAGUAGCAGCAGUGAGGAAGAGUCUCAGGUGGGACUUGCAGUCCGUAGAAGUAAGAGAGCUACUGCGGGAAAACACUCAAAUAUGUUUAAGUUACCUCAGUCGACAAUACAAAGUGUUUUAGUGCUAUAGAUUUAAGUUUUACAUUGUUAGUUCCUAUCUGACAGUACAAUUUGUAAAGUUCCUCCUACCAACUGCUCAAUGCCUCAGAAUGUUAGGUCAUUUAUUUUCUUAUAUACUGUACCCAGUAUCAUGGGGACCAUGAUAAGAUUAAGUGGGGGCAGAUGUGGUAUGAGGAACUCCAGAGACAACUAUUUGGUGAUUUAGAAUAUUAUUGAUAUGGAUAUGUUUUUUUGUGAGCUCCGAGGGGAAAAACGUAAAGAUAUUUUGUGAAUCCGCGCUAGAACGAAUAUGCAUCCCAGCGUUGGGGGGGGGGGGAGACGCAAUGGCGUUGUUUACAUCCCAAAGACGCGUCGGAUGGGCCCAGUGACAGAUAUUCACCCUGGAGUGAGUCGACAACAACAGCCACUCCCCUGUGUUAUGCUGGUGGGUUGCGUUUAUUAUUUAUUGUUUAAUUCCUACGACUGUGUGUUACAAAUAUGUGAAUAUGACAACAGUUGACACUUGUUUUGUAAGUAUAACGUAAUAAUGUGAAAUAACUAGUUAUGCCUGAUCUAGGUCCCAGCCUUUUCCUUCUCGGGUGAUUUCUAGAGUUAAUAAAUGAGAGAAAACUA
Long non-coding RNA from Homarus americanus (American lobster), 1217 nucleotides. RefSeq lists it as uncharacterized. The record is from RefSeq and is a predicted model, not a curated record. NCBI's taxonomy places the organism in Eukaryota, Metazoa, Arthropoda, Malacostraca, Decapoda, Nephropidae. The transcript has 2 exons.